UACGGAGGGUGCAAACGUUGCUCGGAAUCAUUGGGCGUAAAGCGCACGUAGGCGGCUCGUUAAGUCGGAUGUGAAAGCCCUGGGCUCAACCCAGGAAGUGCAUACGAAACUGGCGAGCUUGAAUAUGGAAGAGGGUCGCGGAAUUCCCGGUGUAGAGGUGAAAUUCGUAGAUAUCGGGAGGAACACCAGUGGCGAAGGCGGCGACCUGGGCCAAUAUUGACGCUGAGGUGCGAAAGCG
Molecule: ribosomal RNA, 238 nt
Filed under: uncultured bacterium
Lineage: Bacteria
Description: partial 16S ribosomal RNA
Rfam family: Bacterial small subunit ribosomal RNA
Source: RNAcentral